GAUGAACGCUGGCGGCGUGCUUAACACAUGCAAGUCGAACGGAAAGGCUCCUGCUUGCAGGGGUACUCGAGUGGCGAACGGGUGAGUAACACGUGGGUGAUCUGCCCUGCACUUCGGGAUAAGCCUGGGAAACUGGGUCUAAUACCGGAUAGGACGAUGGUUUGGAUGCCAUUGUGGAAAGUUUUUCGGUGUGGGAUGAGCUCGCGGCCUAUCAGCUUGUUGGUGGGGUAAUGGCCUACCAAGGCGUCGACGGGUAGCCGGCCUGAGAGGGUGUACGGCCACAUUGGGACUGAGAUACGGCCCAGACUCCUACGGGAGGCAGCAGUGGGGAAUAUUGCACAAUGGGCGCAAGCCUGAUGCAGCGACGCCGCGUGGGGGAUGACGGCCUUCGGGUUGUAAACUCCCUUCGCUAGGGACGAAGCGCAAGUGACGGGACCUGGAGAAGAAGCACCGGCUAACUACGU
This 464-nucleotide ribosomal RNA is filed under the name uncultured bacterium. Its description in RNAcentral is "partial 16S ribosomal RNA". It matches the Rfam family "Bacterial small subunit ribosomal RNA", at positions 28 to 506 of the family's 1533-position model. The record is from RNAcentral.